This 449-nucleotide ribosomal RNA is filed under the name uncultured bacterium. RNAcentral's name for it is "bacterial SSU rRNA". It matches the Rfam family "Bacterial small subunit ribosomal RNA", at positions 121 to 609 of the family's 1533-position model. The record is from RNAcentral.
GUAUCUGCCCCCUAGUCAGGGAAACUCAGGGAAACCUGAACUAAUACCGGUAGUCUCUUCGGAGUAAAGAUUAUUGCUAGGGGAGGAGUCUGCGGUCUAUCAGCUAGUUGGUGGGGUAAUAGCUCACCAAGGCUAUGACGGAUAUCUGGUCUGAGAGGAUGAUCAGACACAAUGGAACUGAGACACGGUCCAUACUCCUACGGGAGGCAGCAGUGAGGAAUCUUCCACAAUGGACGAAAGUCUGAUGGAGCGACACCGCGUGAAGGUGAAGGUCUAACGAUUGUAAACUUCUUUUCUGAGGGAGCAUAAUGAGAGUACCUCAGGAAUAAGGGGCGGCUAAUUACGUGCCAGCAGCCGCGGUAAUACGUAAGCCCCAAGCAUUACCCGGAAUCACUGGGUGUAAAGGGUUCGUAGGUGGAAAAAUAAGUUGGAUAUGAAAGACCGAAGCU